UUUGUGUUUAGGCUACCUGCCUCUCCCUACCUCAGCGAGAGGACACAGAGCGGGCAGUGAGGCGCGGCACGUGUAGGAACCCCCAGCCCGAACAAGAAGAGCUACAGCUUUGUAGGGACUCGAGAAAAGAACAUUUGUUGACCAUUGGAAACCACCCAUUUCUUUGCCUGUCGUCUAGGAACUGCCAGCCUGUUUUCCAAGGUGGCUGCACCAUUCUACAUUCAUGUCAGCCAUGUAUGGAGGUUCCAAUUU
Molecule: non-coding RNA, 252 nt
Organism: Leptonychotes weddellii (Weddell seal)
Lineage: Eukaryota; Metazoa; Chordata; Mammalia; Carnivora; Phocidae
Source: RefSeq, a predicted model, not a curated record